AUUGCACUUAAAUGAGCGUGAUCUAAAAACUCUUACUAACAUCCAAAUAAUCAGUGAGUAUGUUCUUCUUCUUCUCUCUAGUUCUUGACUAAAACAGCUUUUAUACACAAGGGGAGGAGCCGGCCGUCCCGUCCAUGUAAACACGGCUCUGACAACAACACAGCCAGCGGGACUCGAGCUUCUCCCUCAGUGUAGACAGUCAGGACUCAGAGACACAUUUACACAGGACAGACUGGAUCUCUGCUGGAUUUAUAUGUAACAUGUCGCACAUUCUUCCUUUAACAUUUAAAAGCUGGGAUGAAGAAUUUGAUGUUUUAUUGAAUGGACACUUGACACAGCUGAUCAUUCAGACGUCCUAAAUGUUGUAUAAACUAUUUAAAUAUAUAAAAAGGCCUUCUCUUUUAAAACACAAAUGUACUGUAAAUAUGCUCAUGAGUCGGUUGGGUUUCCUCCAUGUGCAGCCGGUCAUAACAUCCGAGGGCUGCAUGUGGAGGAAGGAACAUCCUUUACUGGGUUGCAUGAAAGUUUGCAGGUGAAAAUGUUCAAAGUGUGACGUCUGAAUCUGCAGUGUUUUCAUAUUUCACGUUCCUGCUGCAAAGGAAGAAUCCUCCACAGACUCUUCCUCCUGUCAGCUGGAGACUCUGAUGAUGACGUUUUCUCUGAUAUGUAAAACUGACUGGACCAGCAUGCUUCACUCUCAGACUGUGAGGAAAUGUUCAGGCUCUUCAUCUGCAGUUGAGGAAGAAGAAGAAGUGACUGUUGGGACACAAAGCAGCUGACGUCUUUUCAGCUGACGUUUCAUCCUCUCACAGGUGCUUCAUGCUUUUUGUACUGUAACAACUUCUGUCUCAUUUUAAUGUUUUCUGUAGCAUCAGUGCCUGGGGAUCAUUUUCACUCUCGCUCCUUAUCCGACAGAAAUGAUGACGCUGCAUAAAACAAGCUGUCCUUUAAAUGCUGUUAACAGAUUUAAGUGUUCAGCUCUUGUUUGGGUCAAAAGCAGAUUCAACGACUUUAGUGUCAAUUUCUUAUUUCCUAUAACAACUGAAGUUAGUAAAACAAAAAGGUUUAGCACAAAAGAAUAAUUCCACGGCCUCCCAACUUGUUGUGCUAACAAAUCUUUGCUCCAACAACUCACAUGGUUUGCUUUCUUGACGUGGUUGCAGCAGAAUAAGAGAAGGCGACUGGAUCAUUAUCAUCCAAACAGAUGUUUCAAGAUUACACACGUAUAAGGAUUCUGACUUCUGUAAACUGUGCUCUCUUAGUACAAAAAGUCCAACAUUAAAUAUUAAACAAAGACUAAUCUGUACAAAUCUGAGAAGGACGAGGCGAUUAUGUCACGCACCCCAUGUACAGAGGCUAUAAUCCUUGACGCUGCAGUCGUGGGUUGGAAUCCGACCUCGGCCCUUUGCUGCAUGACAUACCCCGACUCUCUCCUCCCAACAUCUCCGCUCUCUCAUCAGCUGUCCUCUCUAAUAAGUACAGUGCAGUGGUGAGGAGUGCAGAAGAUGCUACCAGUCGAAAGGUCAAUAUUUGAUGCUCAACUGACUUAAAGUCUUAAAGUCGGAGACACCUCGCCGUGUUUGUCAGCAUCUCUCUGACCUUCAGUCAUAACAGCAGACUGUAAUGUGACUCACUACAACCAGAAACACUUUCAUUCCCUCUGCUGCUUCUUCAGUGCCUUCUAAUAUUCAGUUUGGUUUAUGACAUUUCCAUCGCUUGCUCUUGAUAUUCAGUUUAAUUCCAAUGUGUUUGAAGGUUGUUAAAGUUAAAACUUUCUGUUCCUGUGAGGACUUUGCAUCCACCUGUUGAACAAACAAAACAGGGGCAAUGAAUAUAAUGGCCACAAGAGGGCGACAGAUACAGACACCCCCAAAAACGUUCUUAAUACACAAUUUAAA
Long non-coding RNA from Labrus mixtus (cuckoo wrasse), 1898 nucleotides. RefSeq lists it as uncharacterized. NCBI's taxonomy places the organism in Eukaryota, Metazoa, Chordata, Actinopteri, Labriformes, Labridae. The record is from RefSeq and is a predicted model, not a curated record. The transcript has 2 exons.